Balaenoptera musculus (blue whale) is the source of this 2590-nucleotide long non-coding RNA. RefSeq lists it as uncharacterized. The transcript is spliced from 2 exons. The record is from RefSeq and is a predicted model, not a curated record. Lineage: Eukaryota; Metazoa; Chordata; Mammalia; Artiodactyla; Balaenopteridae.
CCCACCCCACGGGUUCAUCAUGCAUCCUAGGUGGGCGUUAACUCGCAAUGUCAUCCUGGUCCUUACGGCCCCGUUUCCCCAUCAUCUGCGAGAUGAAAUCAUGGUCAGGAAAACAGGCAGCAGAGCUCCGACCAGCAGCAGAUCUCUCCUUGGAGACUUGCCAGAACCAACCAGAUGCACAUCUAACCAAGCCCCCAUCUCAAGUCUUCACUGCCAUCUCCUCCAAACACUUUUCGGAGAAUGUGGGAAGAUGAACAAAGUCAUGCACCCUAGUGAGAAGACAGAACUCCUUUGUGCGGGGACGGAAAUGCUCGUCUACUCCAGGUGUCCUCCUCCAUUUCCCCACCUCCCCUGUGUUUAGAUUGGGGCCAUAGACUGGCCAAUGCACUGUGAAUGGAAGUGAUGUGGUCCCUUUCGUCUAAGGCAGUCAGGAAGAGUUGUGAGUUCUCUCUACCGUCACUGGGAGUUGAAGGAAAAAUCUGAGAUGGCGGAGUUGCAAGAUGGAAGCUGCCUGGAUCCUUGGAGCCGCUAAGGAGAGCUGCCCGAUUUGCAAUAACUAGUUCAGUUUUCAACGUGUCAUAUCUUAAGUAAGUUACUGAGAUUUCAUGGUUUGUUACUUUAGCCUAGGCUAGCCUAAUAAUCCCUUCCAGAAUUAUUUCAUUUUAACAGAGAUCCUAGGGGAAACGGUAAUGCAAAACAUGACGGAAAUAACUUCUCAUAGUGGAACUGUGGAUACAGGUUGUAACAGGUGCCAUUGCGGCAGCCCUGUAGAAAAAGAGGGUUGACGUCGGGGAAACUUCUCGAUACCACUAAAACUGGGACACGGGGCAAUACUGUAUGCCUCUAGUGGUCCUGUGCUGCAUGGCAAAUUUGAAAAGGCUCCAAAGAAGGAAAUUUUAAGACAUUAUUCCUUCAGGCAAAAUCUCACCAAGCUGCUUCUACAGGGAGGCAAAACAAGGGAACCCAUUUUCUCAAAUGAUUUUGAAAACAUAGUCACCUAGUGCCAGACGUAGAAAUCCCUUUUUUUCUUGCCCAUAUUAUCAAUUAUUAAAACACCUACUUGGCUUUCUCCACUAUCCCACAAGGACCCAGAAAACUUGAUAAUUUGGAUCCAUUUAGGAAUUCCCUUUUUUUGGGAAACAAUGUGACAGAAUGACAACUUGCAUCUGUUGAAUGAAGCUGCCUUUUGGGAAGACCUUGUUUCCUUCCUCCACAGAGGCCCUCCCGGCUUCCGGAGCAUCGUGGAUGGUUUCAAGAAUUGUGCAGAUGGUAGCAAUUGGAGACUCAGGAAAGGCUGUCAAAAAGAAGGCAAAGUACUGCCUUGGAUCCCAACUCUAAGUUUGAUUUUAUACAUACAAAGUGUCCCCAGCCAAACUACUCCUAAGAAUGCUGUCCAGCAGGGCAUCACCUCUGAUGGCAGUUUCCUAAGACGUCAUCCUUUCCCCUAAAUGCACACGACACUUGCCAGUGGAGAGGGUCCCUCCUAACUGUGCCACUGGCUUUCCCUCUGCUCCCUCCAACUGAACCAGCAUGGGCUUCCAAAAAGCUCCUUGACAUACCUAGAACCCAGAUCCACCAGAUUAAUACUCCAGAUACAAUCCCUUUGGGUCUGGCCGCACAUGCCAACCAAGUCCCAAACCAGUUUAUUAAUUUGACCAAAAGGUAAACAGAUGAUGGAGAUGCAGAAAGACAAGCAUGCGAGCAGCUAGAAGUAUUAGCCCGGCUGGCCACCAGGAAACAAAUUUAAGACAUUUAAAGUGGCAUUAAAUAAAUGAGGCUAUGUUUUAUCUACUUGUAACUUCCAUUGUCUUUUUUAAAAAAGAAAAAAAUAUAUAUAUAUUUUACAUUGCAGUAUAUAAAUCUAGACUCUACAUAUACAGUAUAAAUACACAAGGCGAGCACAUGGGCACAACACGUAUGUCUGUCUUGGUAGCCGCGCCCUAAACCAGGCCAACAGUUCUACAUUUUCUUUUUGACCUUCCAACCAAGAAAUUCAGCCUGAGGCUACGUUUCCUUCAAUCCCCAUGAUGUCUAGCACCCUGGCCAUCCCUCCUCCACGCACAGAAGCACAAAUCGAACCAGCCUCGCAAACAGAAAAAAAGUGCUUUUCAACUAGUUGAAACCAGUCAGUCUUUACAAUUCGGUCUGAUCUAGAAAGACCUAAAGGAAAUCUGAGGCCUUCCUGGCUCAUUUUCAUUCUUUGGUCCACCGCCACAAAUCUCUAGACUUACCCUGGUGUUUCUUGCAGAUUUCAUAUGGCUAUUUAUGUAACAUAAAUCACACAUAACCUUUGGGAGCUGUCUUACAGGGUAGAAAAAAAAAAAAAGCUCCACAUUACAAUCUGCACUUCAUAUCUGGGUUCAUUCUUUAUUUUUGGAAUAAAAACUGGUAUUUUGAGAAUUUUCUUCUUAAAAAGGACAACAUUCUGAAAGUGCUUCUUAAACGCAUCAACAUCCCACAUAUGGCUUUGUAGUUCAAACCCCAGCCACAGCUCAGAUUUGGAAGGGAGAGGAUGAUGGUGGUACUGGAGACAAAAGUGUCACUUAACAGUGAUACUGUGAUACCAAGGGUGGAAACCUGAAAAAAAAAA